AUGAAGCCUUACACAAAACCUGAGACUUUCCUGCUAGCCCCCAUGCUGCUCUGCACCCUCCCGGGUCUGGAGGGCUCCGUGGACGUGACCAGCUACAAGGGGUGCUUGAAAUCCAGCGAGUGUGACCCGGGAUUCCUCUCCAUCACUGUGGCUCCGGAGAACACAUGGGGUCCAACACGCGCUGCUGCCAGAGCGAUGGCUGCAACCACAAUCCCCUGCCCGGUAAGCCCCAGCUGAGCCCCACGGCUGGAGUCCCUCCCUGCCCACCCCUCCGCCCACCAGAGCCAGCUGUGAGCACCUGUCACUGACCUGCGCUGUCACCGGGGCAAGCGUCUUCCUUGCGCUGAGCCUUGGGUUCUUCUCCUGUAAACUGCAGUGUCCAGGGACUUCCCAGGUGGUCCAGUGACUAAGACUCCAUGCUCCUAUGCAGGGGUUGGAUCCCUGGUCAGGGAACUCAAUUCCACAGGGCGCAACUAAGAUCCAGUCAAAUAAAUAUUAUUUUCUAAAAACGCA
This 513-nucleotide long non-coding RNA is filed under the name Bos indicus x Bos taurus (hybrid cattle). Its description in RNAcentral is "lncRNA (ENSBIXG00000017091.1)". Lineage: Eukaryota; Metazoa; Chordata; Mammalia; Artiodactyla; Bovidae. The record is from RNAcentral.